Empidonax traillii (willow flycatcher) is the source of this 336-nucleotide long non-coding RNA. RefSeq lists it as uncharacterized. Lineage: Eukaryota; Metazoa; Chordata; Aves; Passeriformes; Tyrannidae. The record is from RefSeq and is a predicted model, not a curated record. The transcript has 3 exons.
AGGCUAGAUACAAGGUACUGUUGGCCAUUAAUACUUUCAUUAGCCAAUGGAAAUAGUCACGAGGUUUGAUUCAUGGUGGAGUUUUGCCUGUCACGUUAGGAGAAGUUCCCAGGUACCAGGGCAGAUGGUUUUAAGAUUAAAGAACCCCAGAGAUGACAGGAGCAAUCAUGAUUUCAACCACUGCUUCUUCUGGAGGACUGUAAAUGUGUUGCUGAAAAUCAUUCCAUGUCUCAGGGAGACAUCUGUUUCACCAAUGAGAACAAAUGAGCAGAACAAGGUGGCAUGUUACACAGAGAGACCUGAAAAUACUAGAAGGCAAAAAGCAAGACAAGGACU